ACGCUCGACACCUACGGGAAGCAGCAGUGGGGAAUAUUGCACAAUGGGGGAAACCCUGAUGCAGCGACGCCGCGUGAAGGAAGAAGUAUCUCGGUAUGUAAACUUCUAUCAGCAGGGAAGAAAGUGACGGUACCUGACUAAGAAGCCCCGGCUAACUACGUGCCAGCAGCCACGGUAAUCUGAGCGGGCUGGCAAGGC
RNAcentral lists this ribosomal RNA (198 nucleotides) under uncultured bacterium. RNAcentral describes it as "partial 16S ribosomal RNA". It matches the Rfam family "Bacterial small subunit ribosomal RNA", at positions 326 to 539 of the family's 1533-position model. The record is from RNAcentral.